This 5606-nucleotide unclassified non-coding RNA is filed under the name Pomacea canaliculata. Its description in RNAcentral is "uncharacterized LOC112556411, transcript variant X2". The record is from RNAcentral. Lineage: Eukaryota; Metazoa; Mollusca; Gastropoda; Architaenioglossa; Ampullariidae.
GCUUUUACUUUCUUUUUGCUAUCAUUAGAUAUUGAUGUUGAUGUUAAUGUGUAUGAUAAAGCAGUUUUAGAUGAAUGCUGUUGACAAGUGUGUCGAGAAAGCAGAUUUCUGUUAAACCGUCGGAGUUCGGAGUUAUCCAUGAAUUGUUUGUGAACAGUAGUUAUCUUUCUUGAGAAUGAUCUUUCGCGCGUAAGAGUAAAAAUAAUACCAGUAGUUAAAAAUUACAGAAUUUCGGAUUGAUCAACGAUCGACAAAGUUCGAUGUGAUGUCUUGCACAAGCAAAUGAAAAGUUCAGGUAGUGUUUUGGUGAGCUACAUGAACUUACAGCGUCAGUCGCUACACUCGAAAGGUUUCGUUCUCAUCCGGAUAAACGACACGAACGGUGUUGUGAAACCGUUUGACUCAACCGGAUAGGAACAGACGACUUGUCGCCAUUAAUUGAUGCACAUAGAGAGCAAGCGAUUCUUUUGCUGCGAGCAUCAUGAGUUCGGAGACUGGCUCCAACGCCUCGUUCGCUUUUGUCGCCAGCUUUGAUGAACAAAGAAACAACUUCGCUUUCUACCUGGGCGGUGUGAUGGCGGCCAACUUUUUUCUUAUUCUCUUUGUUUCUUUCAUUCACAGAAGGAAACUUGCUGCAGUUGUUGUGCUGAGCAAACCCGGAGAGCAAUGGAUGGUUUACGAGUAUCUUGUGGUGCUGAAAACCUCCCUUAAACUAUGUGCUAGCCUGUCGCAUCACGGCCGAGUGAGUGUUCAGCUUCUAGGAAAUUUUCAGAACAGUCAAUGGUUCCAUCUGCGUCAGGAGGCCGUAGCACAGAAUAUUCUUAAACGCGGUCACACUGACACGUUCGUCGUGCACACUGCAGUGGAUCUUGGUGAGCUUCAGUGUGUCUCGAUCAAGCUAUCCAGCUGGCCGACUGGGUGGAAGGUUACCUGGAAACCGUGUUUCGUAGAAGUCAUUAGGUGCAGCAACCUGGAGCGAUGGGGAGCAAAAAUCUCCAGGGUCAUGAAGUGCAAAACAUCUGAAACUUGGACGUACGACCUGCUCAGAAACAAACGUGAGCGCAUGUCUUUUAUGAAGCUGCUGAUGAUUAACCAUUCCUGGCUUGCGCUGUUCAAUAACCCCCAUCGACUAGGUGCCUUUACCAGCAUCACCAGUGUCGUCGUCUUCUUCUUCACUAAUGCAGUGCUUCUGAUCACAACACUCUCUGCCUACAUCUUUGCUCACAUGUUGACAGAGGACACGAUGGCAAUGUACAAUCGCUCCGAGGAUGAUGUCAUCCUCUGCUCGGUCUGCAGCGCAGUCGUUUUGGGCUUUGUGCAGGUGCUGGAAUUGGUCCUGCGGAACAUUCGGCCUUCACGCGUCCGUCCGAACCAGCCAGCCUGGAAUGGACUGUGGCAUCCCCAGUUUCCUGUCAACCCCGAGUUCCUCGACAUCACGUAUGAGUGGGACCGCCGGGUUAAUGUCGUCUCUUACGUGGAUCAAAGGACAGCGUCGAUGUCCUCGCUUAUCUCUACCGACAGUUCGUUAUCGUCAUCUUCAUCUGAAUGUUUAUCUGAUGGUACUGUGCCUAUAAAUGUACCUGAGGUGCCUGAACAGAGGACGUUUUUUAGAUUUUUGUACGCUGACUCCACAACAAAGAAAAUUCAAGAUCACGUCAAGAUCGCCAUGGAUCAGAUUGCUGGUCGAGAGGUCUCGGGUGCGGUCUCGCUUCGGAAUCGUUUUCCCAACCGUAGGGGUAAACCGCUUCCAAGGUUCGAUUGGAAUUGCCCUUUGGACAUCAUAGAGGUCGAGCCCAUAGGACAGGAAUCUUCACGUAAAGAAUGUUUCUUCUGUCUUUGGAUAAAAACCCUUCCUGUCAGGGGCACAACUCUGCAACACUACAGUAUGCGGCUGGUACGCAACGUCCGACGUUCCUUUCGCGCGCUGGCGGCGAGUGAGACUCCCAACCUGACGUCCCUCUUGCUGGUCAUGUGCAUCCACCAGUGGCUCGCCUCCUUAAGCUGCCGCUUGCUGCGGGAGGUGGUGAGGCGCCUGGAUAACAGGACACCUCAGGUCCUGGCUUACCUUUACAAACGCCUCCUAAAUGAGGAAAGUAUUCUGUGGUUUGCGGAGCUGGGCUUUGCUGACGUCAGACCCGUGGCUUCAAUGGACGCGCUGCAAAGUAAGCGAAAUGUGAAGGAGUCGUACGAGACGGAGCGCCUGACAAACUUGUGCUCCAACUUCUACAUCGCCAUCCUGCGCUACCUAGCCUUUGUAUCCUACACCAAGGAUCACGACAUCUUUUUUAGAAAUCGUGCAAAACGCGAUGACUCUGAUAGUUCCGGAUCAGACGACUAUAAUGAUAGCCACAUUGUCUCCAGAAGGAGGAUGAACAAGCGGCGAACAAAGCAGCGAGGCAGUGGUCCCGACAGGGGCCGGGAACAUGAGAAGAAAGAAGAUCUAGGAAAUACUGUCCAGGAGGGUAAAUCAUUAAACGGUAGUUCGGGCGACGAUGUGGAUUUUGUAAAGAACGCACCCUUGUCAUGGAGUUCGGGUUCUUGCCUGUCUCUGCAAUCAUCCGAGUAUGACUUUCAAUGCUUAGUGCACGUGCAAGAUGUCGAGCAAGAGGCAAGUCCGGUCGCUUCUUCGUCACAUCUUGACGUGUUUGAGGUUGACGUUUUACAGUUCGACGACGAAGUCUUUCAGCCGACGUGCGAAAAUGGCGAUAAGAUCAAGCAAGCCAGGGACAGAUUCCCUACCAAUACGAACAAACAUUUCGAAUUUUUCAUGGAUCAGGACAUAGAUGACGCGACCAGACAGCACACAGAAGCAAAACACCUGUUGACAAACUCUGACGAUUCCUUUCCCUGUGUUCGUAAGAAAGCUGUACCAGGGAAAAUGGAUCGAUUAGUUCGAUUCAAAACAGAUGAUUCCAAUCCUCGCAGAGAAGUCUUACCUUGGCAGCAAAGGGAGCACGUUCCUAGUAACAUCGAUCCGAACGGAAGGAAACUUAACUCCCAGGAAACAGAUUCCCGUGGACGUGAAAGGGUUUCGGCUAAAAGAAGCCGUGAGUAUGGCUGUGUUGGGCUCAGGGAUCAGUUUUCAGUUCAAGUAGAAACAUAUGUGCCGAGUGCAAAAAAGAAGAGAGAGCAAGAGGAAACUAUGUUUAAACCAGUUGCAACUUGCAAAACCGAUAGAAUUCCUUUCAGAAAAAAGGAAGAAUGGCCAACAGAAAAAACUGUUUUUUCUGACUUGGAACUUUCGAUAACCGCGCACGGUGGUGAAAGGAAGAGACUUGCCAACGUCUCCAACAUUGAAAACUGGACGAAACUGGGAUUGCCUCAGCGUGGCAUGAAUAUAUCAAUGGAAAUGUUUCCAAGGCAAACGUCUCUUGGAAGAAGCACCAGCAAUCUAGAAGAAAGUGACGCAAGUGAUAACUCAGAUUCUGACUCUUUGAAUACGUUCAUGGUUGACCUCACAGAAAGGGACAGAAGCAACUCGUCCUUGUACAGUGCUAAGACAAGACGGACCAUUAGACAAGGAGGCAGCGGCAAGAAAUAUCUGGCAGGCCGCCGAUACAGGGGCUCAGAAAAGAAAAGAAAAUAUUCUUUGCCACAGACAUUUUCAUCGCAGUCAGUCAGCAAGCAAAGACGUUUUCACGACAGGGUUAAGUCAAUGGGACGCAAAGACAGCCGUACAGUCAGAUUCAUGCAAGGUUCACGGGUUGAUGCCCGUUCGACCUUUCGAACGUUGCGCCUCAGUGCGGCUUUUGAUGCGAAAUGGAAUCUCCCUUUGAAAAAUGUGUGGCAGGACACCAGAAUUUUUCACAAGCAAUCUCAAAGUACGAUACCCCGAGCGAACUUGACUCUUGUUCACUCGCUGUGUUCCAGCUUUUAUAACUGCUCAAACGAGUGCUACUUUACGGUGGAUUCGGCUAUGGGCAUUUCCUGCACGUGCUGCGACUACCCGCUGUGCCAGACGUACGCCGUUGUGUUCAGCCUCUUUGGAAAGUACGCCUCGAGCAUUCUGACUCGUCUGCUGCCGAAAGUGAACUCGCAGCUUGUUUCUAUGCAAUCAGCUCAUCAGACAUAUCAUCUGGCGCUUCGCCCAUCUCAUUCUCCUUCUGCCCUAAGAAAACAUCACGCUGCAUGGAAAGCAAUGGAGAAAAGUCUGGAGAAAAAAAUGGGGAAAAAAGUGUUUGAAUCCUCAUUGAAAAUGCGCCUUUUUUUAAAAAGAAACAAGAAUAAAUCUGCCAACGCUAACUGUUGUUCUAGUCAGUCGAGCAGCACAACGUCUUCGAGCUCGUCGGAAUCCAAGGCAUCCUCAAAGAAAAUGAACGUUUCUUUAAAAUCAAACGAGAAUAAAUUUGCCAAGGCCAACUGUUGUUCUAGGCAGUCGAGCAGCACGUCUUCAAGCUCGUCGGAAUCGAAGGCAUCAUAUGUUAGUACCAUGUGGUCUUCUGCCUCUAUCGAUCCCGAGGUGCUGGACAACGAAGUUAUACUCAUGGUUGAGGCUGUGAUUGAAGAGGCAAAGGAGGAGUUAUUUGAAGAGGUCUGCUAUCUGUUGGUGACGAAAACCAUCCUUGCCCAAGUUGUAGGUGAGGCCAGGGUGGAGAUUUCAAGGGAACUCAACGACCCUAUUCAGGUAGCUGUACGCAAGUUCUCCCACGCAAAAAUCGUGAGUCUCCUUCGCGCCCUGCUGCCCCAUAACUACGAAGAAGAUGAGAUCGUGACUCCUGAUGAAAUUCGACGACGGCGUCGACAACGGAGGCGCCGAAGCGAAAGGCACUACGAUCUGCGAGCACCGCCGAGAAUACCAUGGGGCUAUGAGGUUGUGGAGGACGUGUUGGAGAUGCUGACGUCGCGCUGGAUGCUGAACCUGGAAUACAACACCCACGCCUUCACCCUCACCUUCCUGGCCCGUAGUCUGACGUUGGCUAACCUGCACAUGCACGGGGACUGGCGGGAGUUACAGCUCAGACCGCUUCAGUUCAGAUUGCCGCGCAUGUCCGUCUUCGACUCCAUGUCACACGUUUUAGCGGUGCAACACAGGGUGGCUGAAGCAAUAGACGAGGCAGCCAGUGAAGUGCUGCGUCACAUCCCCCCGAUUGCCCUCACCGUCCAGCAGAAUGUGUCCGAAUCGUUCUAUGACCGCGAAAAGCUGGUGAUAUACGUGUGCGAGAAAGUAUCUAUACUCGAGCAGGCAGCCCUAGAUCAUUUGGCAGUGGCAGUGAUACAACGUGCUUCUGAAGCUGUUCAGGACGAGCUCAUACGUCUGGCUUUGGAAAAACAGCGGAUAGAGAGGUCUACACAGACGCUGAAAAGAAAGCGCAACGUGAGGUUCAAGACAUCAGACUACUCCAUCGACACCAAACAAAUGCGAUCCAUUAGGCUUGGCAUUUCUCAAAUAUAAGAUUAACAAACUGAACUACUGGAACGCCAAGGAGUUGAAGAAGUACUUGGUGGCUACCAAACAAAUGCAAAAUCAGCAAGUCAGGCAAUGUAUACAGUUCAUGCUCGACUCCCGUGAUUUGGGCGUCGACACGAAAGCCGAGUACACCUUCCGCCAGCUGCAGGAAAUAGAGUGGAUAGUCUCUGACGAAAUCCACAACACUUUUCCCAACUCC